CUACUCCUCCCCCUCUAAGUGCUCAGCUUCACCAGACCUGCCCCCAGUAUUCAGUUGGACUUCUGCUGAUGUUACCUCUAAGGUGGGUUGCCUCUCAGUUCAUCCAGAAUCUGACAGAAUGAUGUCCCUUGACUCAAGCGCUGUCACUGACUGAAGCUGAUACCAUUUCGUGUGUCUCUGGCCAGAGUCCCUACAACACCCACAGCAAGCCAGCAGGUCCACACAGGGCAUUUGCCAUCAUGACUGGGGAAAAGUGGAACGUAGCCUCUCAGUUCACACUGGCCAUGCCCUUAUGCUUCAAAUGUGUUUAAGGAGAAAAGAACUGGAGAAAGAAAAGAGAAGAAGCCAGGAAAUGCAUACAGAAAGUGAUUGACUCCACAAAGAAGAAUUGGAAAUUAACACUGCAAAAAGUGCACUGAAUUUGGAUGGCUUCCUUUUGAGGUGCAGGUACUAAGAAUAAUUACAGUCUGUCUGUGUGACUGCCCUUAUCCUGUAAAAGGAAAAAUGCCAAGCAAGGUUCUUUAUGACUUUACCUUUGGUGAUUUAUCCAGCCUUACAUUAUUUCUCACUGAAUUCACCCAGCACCAACUUCCUAUCUCUAAACCCCAAAUCCUACCACAGAGUGAUACCCCACUACUUCUCAUUGCUCAUUCACUUUCCCAUGGCUUUGCAUGUGAUGAUGCCUUUGUUUGCAACAUUCUUCUGCCCCACUUCGCUUUUUAAACUCUGACUGCCAGACUCACCUCCAGUGCUCUCUGCUUCAGAAAGCUUGCCUCUCUCCAGUUUGUUCUAGGAGAUCUGGGGUACCCAGCCUUCACAAUGGCCCCCAAUGGUUUUUACUUUCUGAUGGUAAGGUCUCCAGAUGGUCUCCUCUCCCACUGAAUAAAGCUGACCUGACCUAUGUAAUCUAUGCAAAAUUGUCAAAUGUCUGACUUUUGAGUCUAAGUCAUAAUAAAAGUAGUAAGUCCUACCUUGCUCUCUCUUCAAUCGCUUACUCUGGGGAAAGCCAGAUGCCAUAUCUUGAGAUUAUUCAGUCAUCCCUAUGGAGAAGUCAGUGUAGUAAGGCCUUGUGCCAACCACCAGCAUCAACUUGCCAGCCAUGUGAGUGAGCCAUCUUAGAAGCAAAUUCUCCAGCCCCAGGCAAGCCCUC
RNAcentral lists this long non-coding RNA (1150 nucleotides) under Homo sapiens (human). Its description in RNAcentral is "HSALNT0186087". The record is from RNAcentral. Lineage: Eukaryota; Metazoa; Chordata; Mammalia; Primates; Hominidae.